Non-coding RNA from Danio rerio (zebrafish), 46 nucleotides. The record is from Rfam. Lineage: Eukaryota; Metazoa; Chordata; Actinopteri; Cypriniformes; Danionidae.
ACAAAGGCUCUUUUAAGAGCCACACAUCUGUUUCACAUAUAGAGCG